Molecule: long non-coding RNA, 257 nt
Filed under: Vigna radiata
Lineage: Eukaryota; Viridiplantae; Streptophyta; Magnoliopsida; Fabales; Fabaceae
Description: long non-coding RNA (VRAD_LNC009202)
Source: RNAcentral
UAGUUUAAGCCUGUAAGCUACCUCACCCACCUUCUGCUCAACUAGAAAUGGUCCAUAGUAUCUUGCUGCCAGCUUAGGAUGCAGCCUCGAUGGCAUAGACGUUUUCCUGUGUGGUCGUAUUUUGAGAUAUACCCAGUCACCUAUCUCAAUAUCUAUUACCCUUCGUUUUUUAUUAGCUUGCUUUGUCAUCAACUCUUAUGCCUGUGUCAAGUGGAAUUUCAAUUGCUUUAAAGCCUCAUCACGCGUCUACAACUCUU